UUCUACCUUGCUGUAUAAAGCAACUGAGACAAAUCAUUUUGCUUUUUCUUUCCCCAGGUUCCAAUCAGUGAGAAAACAGUCAUUUAAAUAUUAAUGGCAGAUUGGGCACUGUAGUCCUCCAGACGACAUUAAUCUAUCGAUGGCUCUGAAGUGAAGACGUGAUUGAUGCAGUUACAGACACUGGUGACGUAGGAAGUCAGCUGCAUUUUCACUGGAUUUAUUCAGACAUCCUGCUGGUUUUAUUAAGGAAACAGCAUAUCUGUGAGGUUAAAUCUUGAAAAGCCUAUUUUACUGGCUGAAGGUGACACUCUACUGCAAUCAUUGGGGAGCUCCUUUCUGAGUUCAAUAGCCACAGAGUUAAGUCAGCAG
This 369-nucleotide long non-coding RNA is filed under the name Struthio camelus australis. RNAcentral's name for it is "lncRNA (ENSSCUG00000004664.1)". The record is from RNAcentral. Lineage: Eukaryota; Metazoa; Chordata; Aves; Struthioniformes; Struthionidae.